Non-coding RNA from Mycena vitilis, 95 nucleotides. The record is from the annotation of a GenBank genome assembly. Lineage: Eukaryota; Fungi; Basidiomycota; Agaricomycetes; Agaricales; Mycenaceae.
GGCUUGGUGGUGGAUGGUCCACGUCGGUAAAAAGUGUGGGUAAAAAGUGUCAUUAACUCAACCAACCGUAGCGUGUUCGAAUCACGCCCGAGCCA